RNAcentral lists this ribosomal RNA (314 nucleotides) under Scolelepis sp. GF-9176_25384. Its description in RNAcentral is "partial large subunit ribosomal RNA". Lineage: Eukaryota; Metazoa; Annelida; Polychaeta; Spionida; Spionidae. The record is from RNAcentral.
AUGUGGGCUCUUAGAGAGAAUUAGCCUGUUAUCCCUAUGGUAGCUAGAUCUUUUAAUCGGGAGACCGGAUCUUUAUAAGGGUGAUGACCUUUUGGAGAUAAAGAAGAUUUAGGUCUUCUUCUGUCGCCCCAACAAAACUUUUUCAAGAUUUUUGGUUAUAGAUUCUCUUUCGGUAAAUCUUGGUAAAGUAAAGCUCAAUAGGGUCUUUUUGUCUUUCUUUUCUAUUCAGAUCUCUUCAUCUGAAGGUUAAUUUUCGGGUAAUAAAAAUGAAACAGCUUUACUCUCGUAUGUUCCUUCAUUCCAGCCUCUAAUUA